Nomascus leucogenys (northern white-cheeked gibbon) is the source of this 123-nucleotide long non-coding RNA. RefSeq lists it as uncharacterized. The transcript is spliced from 3 exons. The record is from RefSeq and is a predicted model, not a curated record. NCBI's taxonomy places the organism in Eukaryota, Metazoa, Chordata, Mammalia, Primates, Hylobatidae.
UUCUCCUUUUCCAUUCAACCAUUCACUUAGUUUGGUUCCAUAUCUUUCCAAUUGUAAAUUGUGCUGUGAUAAACAUAUGCAUGCAGGUGUCUUUUUGAUAUAAUGACUUCUUUUCCUUUGGGU